AUGAAAAGCUCUGCACACCUCAGGUGGUCUCUAUAGGCCCACUUCACCAUGGAAAGGAAGGCUUGAAUGUCGUAUAGGAAGAGCACAAACAGAGAUACCUGCAAGAUUUUAUAGGUCGGACCAAUGUGAGUUUGGAGGAUUAUAUUAAGAAAAUAAAGGACCACGAAGCAAGAUUGAGACGUUGUUAUGGAGAACCCAUCAAGUUUAGCAGUGAUGAAUUUGUAACAAUCAUUCUAGUGGAUGCCGCCUUCGUUAUUGAGCUCUUAUUGAAGGACUACUUCAAAUUUUGGGAUGAAAAUGACCGCAUAUUUGACAAACCAGGUAUGUUGCAAGAUGUAUGGACAGAUAUGUGGUUGCUUGAAAAUCAGUUGCCAUUCUUCAUUCUCGAGGAUCUUUUCGACCCACAGAAAAUUACACUCCCUGCUAAUGCUGACAAUAACAGCAUUACUGAGGGGCUUUCAAUAAUUUAUAUUUCUUUCAGUUUCUUCGAACAUCUAUUGCCUGUUGACAAAUUGGAAGACAAUUUGGAGACUUUUAGAUCAAUGGCACAUAUUGUUGAUCUUUUCAGGAAAAUAUUUAAACUCUAUCAACCGUUGGAAUCAAAAGCUGGAGGGGAACUC
This 620-nucleotide long non-coding RNA is filed under the name Prunus dulcis (almond). RNAcentral describes it as "sRNA ncRNA". The record is from RNAcentral. Lineage: Eukaryota; Viridiplantae; Streptophyta; Magnoliopsida; Rosales; Rosaceae.